CUGCAGCUCAAGUGGUGACCACUAUUAUUGGGCCUAAAACGUUCGUAGCCGGUUUGGUAAAUGCCUGGGUAAAUCGUGUAGCUUAACUACACGAAUUCCGGGUAGACUGCCAAACUUGAGACCGGGAGAAGCUAGAGGUACUCCUGGGGUAGAGGUGAAAUUCUGUAAUCCUGGGGGGACCACCAGUGGCGAAGGCGUCUAGCUAGAACGGGUCUGACGGUGAGGAACGAAGCCCUGGGGCGCAAACCGGAUUAGAUACCCGAGUAGUCC
Molecule: ribosomal RNA, 270 nt
Filed under: uncultured archaeon
Lineage: Archaea
Description: partial 16S ribosomal RNA
Rfam family: Archaeal small subunit ribosomal RNA
Source: RNAcentral